This 787-nucleotide small RNA is filed under the name Pan troglodytes (chimpanzee). RNAcentral's name for it is "retained intron". Lineage: Eukaryota; Metazoa; Chordata; Mammalia; Primates; Hominidae. The record is from RNAcentral.
GAAGGGACCCCAUCCUAUUUGCUCCCUUCUGUCUCACCCCUCCUGUCAGAUCAGUCUCUCCCUGUUCUCUGUACCCUAGGUGCGAGCCCGACCAAGGAUGACAGUAAGGACUCAGAUUUCUGGAAGAUGCUUAAUGAGCCAGAGGACCAGGCCCCAGGAGGGGAGGAGGUGCCGGCUGAGGAGCAGGACCCAAGCCCUGAGGCAGCAGAUUCAGCUUCUGGUGCUCCCAAUGAUUUUCAGAACAACGUGCAGGUCAAAGUCAUUCGAAGCCCUGCGGAUUUGAUUCGAUUCAUAGAGGAGCUGAAAGGUGGAACAAAAAAGGGGAAGCCAAAUAUAGGCCAAGAGCAGCCUGUGGAUGAUGCUGCAGAAGUCCCUCAGAGGGAACCAGAGAAGGAAAGGGGUGAUCCAGAACGGCAGAGAGAGAUGGAAGAAGAGGAGGAUGAGGAUGAGGAUGAGGAUGAAGAUGAGGAUGAACGGCAGUUACUGGGAGAAUUUGAGAAGGAACUGGAAGGGAUCCUGCUUCCGUCAGACCGAGACCGGCUCCGUUCGGAGGUGAAGGCUGGCAUGGAGCGGGAACUGGAGAACAUCAUCCAGGAGACAGAGAAAGAGCUGGACCCAGAUGGGCUGAAGAAGGAGUCAGAGCGGGAUCGGGCAAUGCUGGCUCUCACAUCCACUCUCAACAAACUCAUCAAAAGACUGGAGGAAAAACAGAGUCCAGAGCUGGUGAAAAAGCACAAGAAAAAGAGGGUUGUCCCCAAAAAGCCUCCCCCAUCACCCCAACCUACAG